Molecule: non-coding RNA, 254 nt
Filed under: Exiguobacterium sp.
Lineage: Bacteria; Bacillati; Bacillota; Bacilli; Caryophanales
Description: T-box sequence
Rfam family: T-box leader
About the family: Uncharged tRNA acts as the effector for transcription antitermination of genes in the T-box leader family. T-boxes are found upstream of many aminoacyl-tRNA synthetase genes and some amino acid biosynthetic genes usually in Gram-positive bacteria.
Source: RNAcentral
ACAAACGCGAUGAAGAGAACAGUACAUCAAUGAAUCUUUCGUAGAGAGCUCCGUCUGGUGAAAAGGAGUAAAGAACGUUGAUCGAAACAAGCCUCUGAGCAGCGCUAUGGAACUCACCCCGAGGGAUGUGGCGACGGGAACUCCCGUUAUAGAGUUGAGGUAUAGUCCGAUUCAUUCGGCAGUACCGAAUAAGGUUCGUGCGGUGACGUACGGACGAACAGGGGUGGCACCACGAUGAGAAUCUCGUCCCCAAG